Molecule: ribosomal RNA, 253 nt
Filed under: uncultured bacterium
Lineage: Bacteria
Description: partial 16S ribosomal RNA
Rfam family: Bacterial small subunit ribosomal RNA
Source: RNAcentral
UACGUAUGGGGCAAGCGUUAUCCGGAUUUACUGGGUGUAAAGGGCGUGUAGCCGGGCUUACAAGUCAGACGUGAAAUCCGGGGGCUCAACCCCCGAACUGCAUUUGAAACUGUAGGUCUUGAGUAUCGGAGAGGCAGGCGGAAUUCCUAGUGUAGCGGUGAAAUGCGUAGAUAUUAGGAGGAACACCAGUGGCGAAGGCGGCCUGCUGGACGACAACUGACGGUGAGGCGCGAAAGCGUGGGGAGCAAACAGG